This 103-nucleotide ribosomal RNA is filed under the name uncultured bacterium. RNAcentral describes it as "partial 16S ribosomal RNA". It matches the Rfam family "Bacterial small subunit ribosomal RNA", at positions 1380 to 1482 of the family's 1533-position model. The record is from RNAcentral.
CUUGUACACACCGCCCGUCACACCAUGGGAGUGGGUUUCACCAGAAGUCGGUCGCCUAACCGCAAGGAGGGCGCCGACCACGGUGUGGUCAAUGACUGGGGUG